Molecule: long non-coding RNA, 787 nt
Organism: Bombus terrestris (buff-tailed bumblebee)
Lineage: Eukaryota; Metazoa; Arthropoda; Insecta; Hymenoptera; Apidae
Exons: 4
Source: RefSeq, a predicted model, not a curated record
AAGUUUAAGUGAACACCACUAGAGGGUACUCAAUGCACGUGACAUCUAAUGAUAUAUGUAAAAGAAUCACAUACCGUGUACAUGAUUCUUUUAUAUACAUAAACCCAGCAAAUUUUACUGUAAUUAUUUGAUUCAGUAGUAUCUUUCAGCGGUUUGCUCCAUAUGUCUACCGAACUUAUUACUGAUUUCUGACCAUUGUGUGCUUCAUUAAGUUUCAUUAUUGGAGAUGAGUUAUAUAAUGUAUGAGAAGUAAUGAGCUAGAAGAUCUAGAACUACUGAAAUCAUAAUUUGGAGGAAAUAUAACAUUUUCGUUAAUACUUUUACAAUUCAAAUUUUCUUCUGAUACAACAAAAUCAUUACUUUGUACACACGACAGUUGAUUAAAAUUGAAGAUACCAUUUGCCUCGACUGGCUCCUGUUUGUAUAUUUCCUCAACAAACUGUAAAUCAUCAUCAAUAAAAGAUUUCUUGGAUGGCGAAAAGCAUUGAUUCUCCAUUUCUUUCUGCAAUAUUUCCAGUUGGUGACCAGGGUAUAUCUUUAUCAUGCAAAGCAGAAUAAGAGCUAUUAUAUACUACUUUCAAGAAACAAUUUUCAGCUAAUGGUACAUUACUUUGUUUCCUAAUAGAUGUUUCACGAGGUAUUUUAAAUUCACUUUUUUGUGUUAUAUAGUUCUUUUCUUGCAAUGGAUUUUUCAAAAUAACAGACCAAUCUAUGUUCUCUGUUAUAUAUACUUCAUGUGCACCAGUAAAAUUUUUCGCUUCACUAAUAUAUACUUCGUCUUCUGAUU